CGCGGCCUAUCAGCUUGUUGGUGAGGUAAUGGCUCACCAAGGCGACGACGGGUAGCCGGCCUGAGAGGGUGACCGGCCACACUGGGACUGAGACACGGCCCAGACUCCUACGGGAGGCAGCAGUGGGGAAUAUUGCACAAUGGGCGAAAGCCUGAUGCAGCGACGCCGCGUGCGGGAUGACGGCCUUCGGGUUGUAAACCGCUUUCAGCAGGGAAGAAGCGCAAGUGACGGUACCUGCAGAAGAAGCGCCGGCUAACUACGUGCCAGCAGCCGCGGUAAUACGUAGGGCGCGAGCGUUAUCCGGAAUUAUUGGGCGUAAAGAGCUCGUAGGCGGUUUGUCACGUCUGCUGUGAAAGCCCGGGGCUCAACCCCGGGUGUGCAGUGGGUGCGGGCAGACUAGAGUGCAGUAGGGGAGACUGGAAUUCCUGGUGUAGCGGUGAAAUGCGCAGAUAUCAGGAGGAACACCGAUGGCGAAGGCAGGUCUCUGGGCUGUUACUGACGCUGAGGAGCGAAAGCAUGGGGAGCGCACAGGAUUAGAUACCCUGAUAGUCCAUGCCGUAAACGUUGGGCACUAGGUGUGGGGAACAUUCCACGUUUUCCGCGCCGUAGCUAACGCAUUAAGUGCCCCGCCUGGGGAGUACGG
Molecule: ribosomal RNA, 643 nt
Filed under: uncultured Actinomycetes bacterium
Lineage: Bacteria; Bacillati; Actinomycetota; Actinomycetes
Description: bacterial SSU rRNA
Rfam family: Bacterial small subunit ribosomal RNA
Source: RNAcentral